CGAUUCCACAUACAACCGCUAGGGGGCGUGUGUUGCAUUGGUGGCAUAGAGAAGGUUGGGCACACGGAAGAAUAAACUUUCCUGAUGGACGCUAAAGGAGCUCAAUGUGUAUGCCUCAUCUUUUCUAUAUCACAGUGAGUUGAGCAGGAAAAAUGGAGAAAGGGAAAAAAGUGUCAACAAGAUUUUUGGUUCCCAUCAAACAGAAGUCCUGCUUCUGCGCUGCUCCCUGAAUGCAAACCCAAAUAACACUUCCGACCCCAACGAGAAUGAAAACAAAAGUGGGGGAGUUAGUCGUAGGGUGGAUCCCCGAUGGCCGUCUCAGGAAACAGCCACCGCCACUCCCUCAUAACUAUCUGCUGUGUGGAUUUACCAAAAAGGAGGGGCAAUUUCACUGACAGAUGGGGUAUGGUGGCCCGCAUUAAAAGACCCCCGUCUGACUGAGGACUCACAUCCUCCUGCAGUGCCUGCCAGUGACCUGGGGUGACCCUUGGCCACCCCUGCUCUCCACAGGAUCCAUGAGAACGAGCAUGGCCUCCAUGAGUCCCGCUGUCUACACCAACCGAGGGAAAUACUUCGGAGCAGAGCUCGGUCUUUGCAAGCUUAAGAGGAGACGGUGAGGCCCUUUGUUUAAAUUACUCUCAGACCUGGGGACCGUUUUGCUCCUAAGCUCCUACGUUAAAAAGACAAAGAUAACAUACAGAGGCUGGCGUCCUGCUUCCUGCUCCGCAUCCUGUCUAUUUUAUGAGACUGAAGUGUCUGCCUUCAUCUAUAUAGACUCAGUGAAAUAAUAAACAUUGUAUGAAUUCUG
Xiphophorus couchianus (Monterrey platyfish) is the source of this 808-nucleotide long non-coding RNA. RefSeq lists it as uncharacterized. The transcript is spliced from 2 exons. NCBI's taxonomy places the organism in Eukaryota, Metazoa, Chordata, Actinopteri, Cyprinodontiformes, Poeciliidae. The record is from RefSeq and is a predicted model, not a curated record.